RNAcentral lists this transfer RNA (71 nucleotides) under archaeon. RNAcentral's name for it is "tRNA-Trp". It matches the Rfam family "tRNA". From Rfam's summary of the family: Transfer RNA (tRNA) molecules are approximately 80 nucleotides in length. The record is from RNAcentral.
GGGUGCAUAGUAUACUGGUAGUAUAUCGGUCUCCAGAACCGAGGGAGGGGGUUCGAUUCCCCCUGCGCCCA